UCUGGGAUCCAAGACCUUCCGUGCUUUCAGGCAGAGGCCUUGGAGAGCUUUUUGCCUGAGGGCUUUAGUCCUUCACUAAAGGUUUAGGGAGUCUGCUCUGGUUGUCUGGACACCUUCACUAAAGGUUCAGGGCGAGAGGAGAGUCCAGUCUGGUUGUCUGGACGCCCAGCACUCGUUCCUGUUUCUUGUCACAGCAAGAUAAAGUUUUCAGCUGGAAGUUGCCACUCAGAAAGAUGAAGUUCACUCAAGCUCAACGUGGGAGAUGUGUUUUAUCUUCAGAGAGACUCAUGGAGAGGACUCUGACACUUACUCUAGAAUAUAGACGUUCAGAUCGUAAAACAGAAAUAGUGCACAGAUGAGCCAGAUGGGUCCCGCCCCGUGGAGAGGACACCCUGGACUGCCUGGCCUCACCCCUGGACCCCACAG
Molecule: long non-coding RNA, 426 nt
Filed under: Equus caballus (horse)
Lineage: Eukaryota; Metazoa; Chordata; Mammalia; Perissodactyla; Equidae
Description: lncRNA (ENSECAG00000050267.1)
Source: RNAcentral